CCUACGGGGUGCUGCAGUGGGGAAUAUUGGACAAUGGGCGAAAGCCUGAUCCAGCCAUGCCGCGUGUGUGAAGAAGGCCUUCGGGUUGUAAAGCACUUUCAGUGGGGAAGAAAGCCUUGGGGCUAAUACCCUCGAGGAAGGACAUCACCCACAGAAGAAGCACCGGCUAACUCCGUGCCAGCAGCCGCGGUAAUACGGAGGGUGCGAGCGUUAAUCGGAAUUACUGGGCGUAAAGCGCGCGUAGGCGGUCUGAUAAGCCGGUUGUGAAAGCCCCGGGCUCAACCUGGGAACGGCAUCCGGAACUGUCAGGCUAGAGUGCAGGAGAGGAAGGUAGAAUUCCCGGUGUUGCGGUGAAAUGCGUAGAGAUCGGGAGGAAUACCAGUGGCGAAGGCGGCCUUCUGGACUGACACUGACGCUGAGGUGCGAAAGCGUGGGUAGCAAACAGGAUUAGAUACCCCUGUAGUC
This 465-nucleotide ribosomal RNA is filed under the name Vreelandella stevensii. RNAcentral describes it as "partial 16S ribosomal RNA". It matches the Rfam family "Bacterial small subunit ribosomal RNA", at positions 338 to 795 of the family's 1533-position model. Lineage: Bacteria; Pseudomonadati; Pseudomonadota; Gammaproteobacteria; Oceanospirillales; Halomonadaceae. The record is from RNAcentral.